Xylaria nigripes is the source of this 102-nucleotide non-coding RNA. The record is from the annotation of a GenBank genome assembly. NCBI's taxonomy places the organism in Eukaryota, Fungi, Ascomycota, Sordariomycetes, Xylariales, Xylariaceae.
GCCCGAGUAGCUCAAUUGGUUAGAGCGUCGGACUUUUACAAGCUUCUAGCCUGUGAAGUAUCCGAAAUCCGAAGGCUGCGGGUUCGACCCCCGCCUGGGGCG